CCUUUUUUUUUUUUUUAGCAAUUUAAUAAACCCGUUACAAUAAAGUCAUGUUUUAUCCAAUAAUUCACAGAAUUAGAAUAUUAAACAAUAUCUCCACUGAAAUGCAACGCCAAUGAUUGAAGAGUAUUAAGAAGAUUUAGGCAAAAGAAAGAACACAAUUACAAAUAGGUAUUCCAUUCCAAAUCAGAGAUAAAUCAGAGGUUCAGAAGUCAAUAUCAAUGCCCGUGUUUAUUCAACUACAGAACGACAUAAACAUGACUCUCAACAAUCAGGAACUCAUAUCUGAUCCAGUACAAACAUCCCCAUAUGGCUAACUAACACCUCCCUUACAAUCUUCCCAUCACUUCUUAUUGUUUUUAACUCCACCGCCAGCGUUGUUUCCUCCCACAGCUGCCUGGGCAGCUUUCCUCGCAGCCUUCUCCUGCAGAGCCUUUGCGUCCCUGUCACGGCGUUGUUCAGGGGUCAAUCCAUCGUCUUUGGAAUUCUUAGGCUUGUGGCCAGCCCUAGCUUGGGCCCUUUCCCGGUCUCGCUCUCUCUGGUUACCACGUUCGCUUCAGUUAAAGAAAAAUAAACAAACCAUAAGCCAAAUGACAACGAUUCACAAAACCAAAUUCCCCAAUUCAUCCGUCUGGUUGCUUCAGAUGCAAAGAUAAGCUUUUUGAAUUUCCAUUAAAAAAAAAAAACUCAUUGACCUCCUUGGCAACCAAAUAGAGAAAUAAAAGAAUUUGCAUGGAAAUCAAACAAAAAAAGAAGACGAUCUAGAGAAAUAGAGAAGGAAAAAAAUCUCAUCAGCAAGGAUAUGGGUCAUUGUCGAUCAAUUGCGCAGCAGCCAAGCGAAACUCCUGCAAAAUUCAAUCAACAAUGGGAAAAGAAUCAUUAUUUUCCAUUAAAAUUAAAACCAGACAGCAAAACAAAGGAUAAAAAUAGAGAGACAAACACCGGAGAGAGAGCGUAGACGUGGGUUUUCACUUGUUUGGAAGGGAGAUGAGAGAUUGGCGUCUUCAAACAGAAAGCUGACGAAUAAAGAAAGGGAAUUCCGAAAAAAGUCGAUCUCUAGAAGUGUCGAGAAGCCGCAGAGAUUCUACCGCGCGGCGUCCAGAAAUU
RNAcentral lists this unclassified non-coding RNA (1104 nucleotides) under Hevea brasiliensis (rubber tree). Lineage: Eukaryota; Viridiplantae; Streptophyta; Magnoliopsida; Malpighiales; Euphorbiaceae. The record is from RNAcentral.